UUGUCUCUUGGCUUGAGUUAUCUUGCUUGUCUAUAUCUGUGACUGCAACAACGUGUCAGGGACAGUUGGCUCCCAGACUGCUAGGCUGGGGUGCUAACCUCAGUGGGGAGCCAGGAGGAGGACAGCUGGUAACCGAGGAAUCCAGGAAUUAGGACUGAUGGAGGAGUCUGCAGUCUUGGGGCUUAAGGGAGAUUAAACUUCACAAGUCACUCUGUCUGGAGAUGGGGAGCAGGCGUUCUGAGAUCUUGCAUAGGACACCUCUGGACCUCGAUUUCGUGAUAAGGGAACCGGAGGCAGCGACUCUGCUCUGCCUGAGUCCAGGUUUGACCAAGGUGUGACCUUGAGAGUCAGGAGGCUGAGGGCUGGUAGGAUGAUGUGGACGCUUCACCAUCCACUAGGGUGAGCAGA
Molecule: long non-coding RNA, 408 nt
Organism: Mastomys coucha (southern multimammate mouse)
Lineage: Eukaryota; Metazoa; Chordata; Mammalia; Rodentia; Muridae
Exons: 4
Source: RefSeq, a predicted model, not a curated record